GAUGAACGCUGGCGGCGUGCUUAACACAUGCCAGUCGAACGGAAAGGCUCCUGCUUGCAGGGGUACUCGAGUGGCGAACGGGUGAGUAACACGUGGGUGAUCUGCCCUGCACUUCGGGAUAAGCCUGGGAAACUGGGUCUAAUACCGGAUAGGACCACAUUUUGGAUGGUGUGGUGGAAAGUUUUUCGGUGUGGGAUGAGCUCGCGGCCUAUCAGCUUGUUGGUGGGGUAAUGGCCUACCAAGGCGUCGACGGGUAGCCGGCCUGAGAGGGUGUACGGCCACAUUGGGACUGAGAUACGGCCCAGACUCCUACGGGAGGCAGCAGUGGGGAAUAUUGCACAAUGGGCGCAAGACUGAUGCAGCGACGCCGCGUGGGGGAUGACGGCCUUCGGGUUGUAAACUCCUUUCGCUAGGGACGAAGCGUUUUUGUGACGGUACCUGGAGAAGAAGCACCGGCUAACUACGUG
Molecule: ribosomal RNA, 467 nt
Filed under: uncultured bacterium
Lineage: Bacteria
Description: partial 16S ribosomal RNA
Rfam family: Bacterial small subunit ribosomal RNA
Source: RNAcentral